UGGCUCUCGCAUCGAUGAAGAACGCAGCGAAGCGCGAAAUGUAGUGUGAAUCGCAGAACAUUGUGAAUCAUCGAAUCUUUGAACGCACAUUGCGCCUCUCGUAACAGGGAGGCAUGCCUGUCUGAGUCUCAUUUAACCUCUAAACCCAUUUGGGUUUGUGCAUGGGCGUUCGCCUCUUGGGCGUCGCCUCAAAGUCAUCUGUCUUAUGAGCGGACGAGAUCCUCCGGGACUGACCGUUUGUAGGACCCAAAAUCUCUGAUUUGAGCUCAGAUCAGGUAGGACUACCGCCUGA
Molecule: unclassified non-coding RNA, 292 nt
Filed under: uncultured fungus
Lineage: Eukaryota; Fungi
Description: partial contains 5.8S ribosomal RNA and internal transcribed spacer 2
Rfam family: 5.8S ribosomal RNA (bases 1-131)
Source: RNAcentral